This 323-nucleotide ribosomal RNA is filed under the name eukaryote SCGC AAA071-C04. RNAcentral describes it as "partial 18S ribosomal RNA". The record is from RNAcentral.
GCCAGUCCGCGGUAAUUCCAGCUCCUCUUUGACGACCUACUGCAUCGAUUUCAUCAAUAAAAAUUACACAUGGACUAUUUUGACGAGCUUUGUCAAAUAAAUUUCUAACACGAGACGCGCCAACACCAACAAACAUCUCAAUAAAUUCAGAACCACUUGCACUAAUAAAUGGAACUCCUGCUUCACCAGCUACAGCUCUAGCUAGCAAAGUUUUUCCUGUUCCAGGGCUACCUUCUAAUAAAACUCCUUUUGGAAUUUUAGCACCAGCUUCAGUAUAUUUUUCAAAUUCCUUUGUAGGUGAACCUGCAGAAGGAUCGGUCAUA